This 384-nucleotide ribosomal RNA is filed under the name uncultured bacterium. RNAcentral describes it as "bacterial SSU rRNA". It matches the Rfam family "Bacterial small subunit ribosomal RNA", at positions 28 to 414 of the family's 1533-position model. The record is from RNAcentral.
GACGAACGCUGGCGGCGUGCUUAACACAUGCAAGUCGAGCGGUAAGGCCCUUUCGGGGGUACACGAGCGGCGAACGGGUGAGUAACACGUGGGUGACCUGCCCUCAGCUCUGGGAUAAGCCUGGGAAACUGGGUCUAAUACUGGAUAUGACUCCACGGUGCAUGUCGUGGGGUGGAAAGCCUUGUGCGGCUGAGGAUGGGCCCGCGGCCUAUCAGCUUGUUGGUGGGGUGAGGCCUACCAAGGCGACGACGGGUAGCCGGCCUGAGAGGGCGACCGGCCACACUGGGACUGAGACACGGCCCAGACUCCUACGGGAGGCAGCAGUGGGGAAUCUUGCGCAAUGGGCGAAAGCCUGACGCAGCGACGCCGCGUGAGGGAUGACGG